CCAAUAGCGUAUAUUAAAGUUGUUGCAGUUAAAAAGCUCGUAGUUGAAUUUCGGGAUUGGCGCAUCGGUCGUGCCUUACGGGGUAUGAACUGGUGCAGUCAAUUUCUCACCUUCUGGAGAACCGCGAUGUCCUUAAUUGGAUGCCGCGGGGAACCAGGACCUUUACUUUGAAAAAAUUAGAGUGUUUAAAGCAGGCAUUUUUGCUUGAAUACAUUAGCAUGGAAUAAUAAAAUAGGACGGCAUGGUUCUAUUUUGUUGGUUUCUAGGACCACCGUAAUGAGUAAUAGGGAUAGUUGGGGGCAUUAGUAUUCAAUUGUCAGAGGUGAAAUUCUUGGAUUUAUUGAAGACUAACUACUGCGAAAGCAUUUGCCAAGGAUGUUUUCAUUAAUCAAGAACGAAAGUUAGGGGAUCGAAGACGAUCAGAUACCGUCGUAGUCUUAACCAUAAACUAUGCCGACUAGGAAUCAGACGAUGUUAAUUUUUUAAUGACUCGUUUGGCACCUUACG
This 507-nucleotide ribosomal RNA is filed under the name uncultured Glomeromycotina. Its description in RNAcentral is "partial small subunit ribosomal RNA". It matches the Rfam family "Eukaryotic small subunit ribosomal RNA", at positions 591 to 1092 of the family's 1831-position model. The record is from RNAcentral. Lineage: Eukaryota; Fungi; Glomeromycota.